Non-coding RNA from Rhincodon typus (whale shark), 87 nucleotides. NCBI's taxonomy places the organism in Eukaryota, Metazoa, Chordata, Chondrichthyes, Orectolobiformes, Rhincodontidae. The record is from the annotation of a RefSeq genome assembly.
GCCUGGGUGAUUCCUAGUGGUCUCGGGUGCAGGCUUCAAGCCUAUAGCUGUCUAGCAACAGAGUGGUUCAAUUCCACCUUCCAGGUG